Molecule: long non-coding RNA, 611 nt
Organism: Sebastes umbrosus (honeycomb rockfish)
Lineage: Eukaryota; Metazoa; Chordata; Actinopteri; Perciformes; Sebastidae
Exons: 3
Source: RefSeq, a predicted model, not a curated record
GUGGGAGGAAGUGGAGAUGCAUCAUCAAUCUAAUUUAUAUAUAGAGGCUAUGCGCUCCAAAGCUGAGAUAAGCACACAGAAGAACAACUUGCAUCCCAAAGCGAGAAUCACAUCACGUUGAAAGGAAAUGAAACCAACCAGCUGUGCAUCUCAGGUGAUACAGAACAAGAGUCUUGCUGGACCUGACAAAAAGCCCCCCAUUGUUUUACGACUCCACUGAAAAACUAAUCUCAAAGUUACUUUACUACUUGUCUAGCAGUUUUCUAUCAAUGUCUUCUUAUACUAGUGUGUGUGUGUCUUUAACCUGAAUGCUGCAUGUUUUUAAAACUUUUUCUCUGAUUUAGAAGUCACAAUCUCCUGUUUAAAUGUCCAAAAAAGUUAUUUCCUCAACAUCUGUCCUGAACAAAGAAAGACUUUUGCAUUAGUAUACCAUUUAUGUUUCGGUAUUUGGAGUGUCCCAGUUAUGUGCUGUGCAUGUAAACAUCACAUCCUGGUUUUGAGAAACCUUCCUGCUGGAGUAAAUACAAAAAUAACACGUUUGCAUUUCUGAUCAGGGCUCAUAAAUGUUUUUGAACAACUAAGAGUGUUUAAGACAACUUGACCUGAAAACC